RNAcentral lists this ribosomal RNA (694 nucleotides) under uncultured bacterium. RNAcentral describes it as "bacterial SSU rRNA". It matches the Rfam family "Bacterial small subunit ribosomal RNA", at positions 111 to 823 of the family's 1533-position model. The record is from RNAcentral.
UAACGCGUGGAUAACCUGCCAUAUACCGGGGGAUAACACUUAGAAAUAGGNGCUAAUACCGCAUAAGCGCACGGCUCCGCAUGGGGCAGUGUGAAAAACUCCGGUGGUAUACGAUGGAUCCGCGUCUGAUUAGCUAGUUGGCGGGGUAACGGCCCACCAAGGCAGCGAUCAGUAGCCGGCCUGAGAGGGUGGACGGCCACAUUGGGACUGAGACACGGCCCAAACUCCUACGGGAGGCAGCAGUGGGGAAUAUUGCACAAUGGGGGAAACCCUGAUGCAGCGACGCCGCGUGAGUGAAGAAGUAUCUCGGUACGUAAAGCUCUAUCAGCAGGGAAGAAAAUGACGGUACCUGACUAAGAAGCCCCGGCUAACUACGUGCCAGCAGCCGCGGUAAUACGUAGGGGGCAAGCGUUAUCCGGAUUUACUGGGNGUAAAGGGAGCGUAGACGGCAGCACAAGUCUGGAGUGAAAUCCCGGGGCUUAACCCCGGAACUGCUUUGGAAACUGUGCGGCUGGAGUGCAGGAGGGGUAAGCGGAAUUCCUAGUGUAGCGGUGAAAUGCGUAGAUAUUANGAGGAACGCCGGUGGCGAAGGCGGCUUACUGGACUGUAACUGACGUUGAGGCUCGAAAGCGUGGGGAGCAAACAGGAUUAGAUACCCUGGUAGUCCACGCCGUAAACGAUGAUUACUAGGUGU